This is a long non-coding RNA of Ictalurus punctatus (channel catfish), 339 nucleotides long. NCBI's taxonomy places the organism in Eukaryota, Metazoa, Chordata, Actinopteri, Siluriformes, Ictaluridae. The record is from Ensembl.
GUCGGUGUCGAUGGGAUGAGUGUCGGUGUUGAUGUUGAUGGGAUGAGUGUCGGUGUCGAUGGGAUGAGUGUCGUUGUUGGUGGGAUGAGUGUCGGUGUUGAUGGGAUGUGUGUUUGGUGUUGAGUGUCGGUGUUGAUGAGUGUUGGUAUUGAUGGGAUGUGUGUCAGUGUUGGUGUUGAUGUUGAGUGUUGGUGUUGAUGGGAUGUGUGUCGGUGUUGAUGUGUGUCGGUGUUGAUGGGAUGUGUGUCGGUGUUGAUGGGAUGAGUGUCGGUGUUGAUGGGAUGUGGUGUCGGUAUUGAUGGGAUGUGUGUCGGUGUUGGUGUUGAGUGUCGGUGUUGA